RNAcentral lists this ribosomal RNA (500 nucleotides) under uncultured bacterium. Its description in RNAcentral is "partial 16S ribosomal RNA". It matches the Rfam family "Bacterial small subunit ribosomal RNA", at positions 30 to 523 of the family's 1533-position model. The record is from RNAcentral.
AUUGAACGCUGGCGGAAUGCUUUACACAUGCAAGUCGAACGGCAGCACGGGGGCAACCCUGGUGGCGAGUGGCGAACGGGUGAGUAAUACAUCGGAACGUGCCCAGUCGUGGGGGAUAACGUAGCGAAAGUUACGCUAAUACCGCAUACGAUCUACGGAUGAAGGCGGGGGACCGUAAGGACUCGCGCGAUUGGAGCGGCCGAUGUCAGAUUAGGUAGUUGGUGAGGUAAAGGCUCACCAAGCCGACGAUCUGUAGCUGGUCUGAGAGGACGACCAGCCACACUGGGACUGAGACACGGCCCAGACUCCUACGGGAGGCAGCAGUGGGGAAUUUUGGACAAUGGGCGCAAGCCUGAUCCAGCCAUUCCGCGUGCAGGACGAAGGCCUUCGGGUUGUAAACUGCUUUUGUACGGAACGAAAAGGCUCUGGUUAAUACCAGGAGCUCAUGACGGUACUGUAAGAAUAAGCACCGGCUAACUACGUGCCAGCCGCCGCGGUAA